AACGAACGCUGGCGGCAUGCCUAACACAUGCAAAUCGAACGAGAUCUUCGGGUCUAGUGGCGCACGGGUGCGUAACGCGUGGGAAUCUGCCCUUUGGUUCGGAAUAAAAGGUGGAAACGUCUGCUAAUACCGGAUGUGUACGAAAGUCCAAAGAUUAAUCGUCAAAGUAUGAGCCCGCGUAGGAUUAGCUAGUUGGUGUGGCAAGGGCGCACCAAGACGACGAUCCUUAGCUAGUCUGAGAGGCUGAUCAGCAACACGGUGACUGAGACACCGCCCAGAAUCCGCCUGGAGACCGAAGUCGGGAAUAAUGGAACGUGCUCGAUAGCGUGAUCCGUCAAUGCAGCGAUAGUGAUUAUUGCCAUAGGGUUGUAAACAUUUUUUACCCAGCAUGAUAAUGUCAAUACCGGGAGAAUAAGCACCGGCUAACUCCGUGCAAGUAGCCUCCGUAA
This 449-nucleotide ribosomal RNA is filed under the name uncultured bacterium. RNAcentral's name for it is "partial 16S ribosomal RNA". It matches the Rfam family "Bacterial small subunit ribosomal RNA", at positions 29 to 523 of the family's 1533-position model. The record is from RNAcentral.